ACAUCUUAUUUUGAAAAUAGACUAGAAGAUAUUGAUAAUAAUAUUGGAUUUAUGCAAUAUAGCAGUGCAGCAGUUCACCCAAGGCUUGCUGGGACAGGAAUUUACAUUCAUAGCACUUUUCAAAAGUAUCAACAUCUUAUUUUGAAAAUAGACUAGAAGAUAUUGAUAAUAAUAUUGGAUUUAUGCAAUAUAGCAGUGCAGCAGUUCACCCAAGGCUUGCUGGGACAGGAAUUUACAUUCAUAGCAC
Rhopalosiphum maidis (corn leaf aphid) is the source of this 247-nucleotide long non-coding RNA. RefSeq lists it as uncharacterized. Lineage: Eukaryota; Metazoa; Arthropoda; Insecta; Hemiptera; Aphididae. The transcript is spliced from 3 exons. The record is from RefSeq and is a predicted model, not a curated record.